RNAcentral lists this ribosomal RNA (235 nucleotides) under uncultured bacterium. RNAcentral's name for it is "partial 16S ribosomal RNA". It matches the Rfam family "Bacterial small subunit ribosomal RNA", at positions 96 to 334 of the family's 1533-position model. The record is from RNAcentral.
UGGCGGACGGGUGAGUAAUGUCCGGGAAACUGCCUGAUGGAGGGGGAUAACUACUGGAAACGGUAGCUAAUACCGCAUAACGUCGCAAGACCAAAGAGGGGGACCUUCGGGCCUCUUGCCAUCGGAUGUGCCCAGAUGGGAUUAGCUAGUAGGUGGGGUAAAGGCUCACCUAGGCGACGAUCCCUAGCUGGUCUGAGAGGAUGACCAGCCACACUGGAACUGAGACACGGUCCAG